AACCCUUGACAUGGGACGUAUGAGCAUCAGAGAUGGUGUUCUUCACUUCGGGUGGCGUCCACAC
This 64-nucleotide ribosomal RNA is filed under the name uncultured organism. RNAcentral describes it as "partial 16S ribosomal RNA". The record is from RNAcentral.